UGGUCAUGUGACCCAGACUAGCCAAUGAAAGUAUUUGAUUCCCAUGACUGUGGUGAUUGGCUCAUUGUUAGGGGUGCGUUUCAAGAUGAGCCAAUCAGUGUCCUGUGCUGGAUGGAUAUGGCUGCAUAGACACAGGUAGAGGGUGAGCUCUUUCUGUGUGGUAGCUAACUAUGUCCAAUGCAAGCAUUCCCUGCCAGGAGGAGGGUCUGCUGAAAAGAUGGAGAGCACUUAUGACAUCAUUUGAAUGCCAGAGUCCAGAGAGAACAAGUUUCUUCAAUCAACCCUUAUUUUUCUUUGCUGUGAGGACCAGGAAGGAACCAAUCUGUUUAAAAACUGUUGCCCGCUGGUGGCUCGUUGCCAGGUCUGAGAUAACACUGGUGGUCCCUCUGAGGGCUGAGGACGCAUUCCCCGGGUACUGCAAUCAGAGCAGACGCAUGUGCAGCUGUGGAUGGAGGGAGCUGACGUGUUCUCUCCGGGAGCAGAGGAGCAAAUGUCACGAGAAAAGCCCUUGAAAAUGGUUCUCAUCCCUUUCUCCAUCGCAGACAACCCAGAAUAAACUGUUCUGAAAUGUUGACGUUUAAUAAUAUUAAUAUUAGUAAUGGCUGGAAAGGGCUUCUGGUAAUGAGAUUCCAGGAUAAAUAGGUCACUGGGUUUUCAUUGCUUAUCAAUGAAGUUCCCAAAAAGAUCUUUUUUAAGGAAAUAGGCUCAUGUAAACUUUUUUUUUUUUAAAAAAAGGAAGGAAAUACAUUGUCUUUAUAAUAAGGCAAUGCAAGAGGGAUUUUUGUUGAUUUGUUUUGAGGAACUAUUUAUAAAAUGAUGAAGAUUUUAAAAAAUAAAAAAGGCUGAGCAUGGUGGCUUAUGAAUGUAAUCCCAGCACUUUGAGAGGCCAAGGCAGGAGAAUCGCUUGAGCCCAGAAGUUCAAGAUCAGGCUAGGCAACAUAGUGAGACCUUGUCUCUAAGAAAAAUGAAAAAAAAAAAAAAAAUUAGCCAGGCAUGGUGGCACACACCUGUGGUCCCAGCUACUCGGGAGACUGAGGUGGGAGAAUGGCUUGAGCCCAGGAAGUUGGGGCUGCAGUGAGCCUGUGAUUGCACCACUACACUCCAGCCUGGGUGACAGAGCAAGACCCUGUCUCAAAAAAAAUAAAAAUAAUUUAAAAAGAAAACAAAAUUGAGAAUCCUCUGCUGGUCCCUGUUAUGUCUUACUCAGAAAGUGACAUAGGUGAAUUUUAUCUUAGGAAAAUGUACUGCUACUGUGUUUCCAGCUGUAUCAGUGCAUUCUUACCUUCCCUAAAUUAAAAGCCCAUCACUGCUAGCUCCUAAGGACUCCUUUCAGUACCGCCUUUUCAAUGCCACUUGAGCAUCAUGGUUCUAACAGUUAAGUUUGGCCUGCUUUGCGCUGUAAAACUUGCCUGCAAAUAGCUUGGUGGUCUGCCCUGGAUUUGCCAGGAGCCUGUUUUUUGAAAGGGGCUUAAGGCACAAGGCUGCUGAGUUUGGAAUCAUUUUGCCAACCCUGGCAGCCUCUGUGACUCUAUGAUUUCUUUAAUGUUCCCGUCUUUCUCAUUUCCCUAAAUAAACUGAAGCCUUUACUGGAAGGUCAAGUAAAUGUUACUGUGAAUCACUACUAGUAGAGGCUCCAGAAAAGGGAAUCCUGGUUGCUCUCAAAUAAUCUUGAAAUUUCACUCUUUUAAUUAUUUUUAAGCCCCUGUUCUUAAAAAAAACUGUAGAAACAUAUGUAACAUAUAUAAACCAAAAUGUCUACUGAUUUUCAGGCUAACUGAAGACUAACUAGAAAUAAGUUUAUUGCCCCAAUGCUGUUGUUCAGAAGCUUUCUGAUAUGUUCAUUCACCUUCCUGCCUUAUUAAUCAGAGUAAACAUGAUGAACUGUAUAUUUCUAUGUAACAUCAUAUACCAUACUAAUUUUCACUUGCGUUCUUAAUAUAAUUUAUCUUUUUGGGAAUUGGGCAUUGAACUACAUUAAGUAGUUUCAGUAUCUCCCCUUGAAUAUGUUGAGGGAAUCUUUUGAAAUCAACUUUGUACUGUCAUUUCAUUUUCUUUUCGUAUACAGCUAAGAUUUAUUGAGUGCUUACUGUGAGCCAGACAAUGUGAUAAGUGUUUUAAGUGAAUGAUCUAUUUUAAUGCUUUUUAAAAAUCAACACUGACUUAGUAAUAGUGUUUUCCCUUUAUUAAAGAUGAAGAAACUGAGUUCAGAAAAGUGAACUGACUUACCAAGGUUACUCAACCAGUAAGUGUUGAAAUCAUAACUAAACUGUAGCUGUGUUUGACCACACAGCCUUGCUUACAACUCACAAAAGACUUGAGUUCCAUUCCCAGCUUUGAACUUUAUAGACCAAGUAAUUCUUGACCUCCCCAGGCAUCUUCAUCCUUAUUUAUAAAAUGAAGGUAAUAGUGCCUCCCUUCCAAAGUUGGGGUACUAAGACUUGUGAGAAAUUACUUCCAAACUCUAAAAUGCUAAAUACACGUAAUGUUAUUGCUUUUACAUGUUUAUUAGCUAGCGAUGUCUUUAGUUAAUUGCAUUAGCUAAAUUAACAUAUUAUGCUUAGAUUAUAGGUGGGAAGCCUCACUAUUAGCUAGCGA
Molecule: long non-coding RNA, 2595 nt
Filed under: Homo sapiens (human)
Lineage: Eukaryota; Metazoa; Chordata; Mammalia; Primates; Hominidae
Description: HSALNT0055628
Source: RNAcentral